UAAAUUCAACUCAACAAAGAAACAAAGCAAAAAAAUAAAAGUAAUAAACUAAAGAAAAAAUAUAUGAUAGUAUUAAGAAUAUUUUACCGUGAAUAGAUGAAGAAUGUGAAAACAAAGAAGAAACUCCAAUUGUCAUAUGGUCCAGAUUUCAUAGAGAUGAUUUUAGAGAAAAGAUCCAUUCAUCACUAACCCGUGUAGUUCUUCUUCUUCCUCCUCCUGUGCAUUCUUCUUCUACGGUGAGAUUUAGAAAAUAAAGAAGAAUAAACCAUAAAUUUCACAGCAGAGAGAUAGAGAUAGAUAUGAUUAUAAGGAAAUUACUAACCGGUUCUCAGAUGGAUCUUCUUCUUUCUACCGUCUCCCGUCGCUGUUCUUGGCUUUCUCCGUGUCAUUUGAAUAUUUUGAAUAUGGAAAGGCGUAAGAGAGAGAAGAAGAAGAGAUGGAGAAUGAGAAGUGAGAAGAAAGAGAGAAAUGUGUACAGGGUACAGACCAAAGACAGAGAAAA
RNAcentral lists this long non-coding RNA (502 nucleotides) under Trifolium pratense (red clover). RNAcentral's name for it is "long non-coding RNA (TPRA_LNC005279)". The record is from RNAcentral. Lineage: Eukaryota; Viridiplantae; Streptophyta; Magnoliopsida; Fabales; Fabaceae.